This is a long non-coding RNA of Tarenaya hassleriana, 1074 nucleotides long. RefSeq lists it as uncharacterized. The transcript has 2 exons. Lineage: Eukaryota; Viridiplantae; Streptophyta; Magnoliopsida; Brassicales; Cleomaceae. The record is from RefSeq and is a predicted model, not a curated record.
AUUCUCUACAUCCAAUCAUAGACAUGCGGAAGAAUUUAAUAGAAUCUGACCUGUUACAAUUUGGGAACAUCUAAAAAAAUGCUCAGGCUACACCAAUACGCACCUGUGGCUGGGGUGUCAAAAUGUCCGGACUGGACUCGAAUGUUGGUCGGGUUUCAAUUUUUAAACCCAGACCCGUAAAUUUCCCGGACGGACUCGGAGACACCCUUGGCAGACGCUCCUGUGAAUGCUGCAGAUAAUAAGACUCAACCAAGCAAUCGGUUUGUCAAGCAUGUGUGGAAAUUCAUGUUAGAAACAUGGACGAUAGUGAUGAAGAUACCAGAUGAGAAUUAUCUGGGUAUGUGAUCAGAUUCUUGGUCCCUCUUUCCCAUCUCUCUUUCAGUUCUUUCUUCAUUUCAUAUACGUCUGAUUUGUGAGUCUGUCUUAUUCGUUUUCUUUGAUAUGGGUUUAUUCUUCGCAUGGAAAUUCAAUAUCCCUUGAGACCGAUUCUUUUCUUACUCAUUCGAUUUUUAUUAUGCGGACGUCUUCAUUGAUCUUUCUUUUUGGAUUGUCGAAAAUCUUUGUUGAUUUUCUAGUUCCUGACUUGGACCGAGAUCUUUCUGAUCGAUGCCUUUUCUUUUUAUCGCAUCUUCAUUUAUCUUUCCGACCAAUGUCCUUUAAAUCGUGUUUUCAUUUGUAUUCCUUAUCGAUAUCCUUACGAUCAAAUCAUGUCUUUGAUACCUUGGAGGCUUUAUUAGUCGUUUAAGUCGUGGACGCUUUGAUUCAUCACACACACACACACAUAUAUAUAUAUAUAUAUAUAUAUAUCGAAGAAGUUUGAUACAUUAUUUAAUUGUUGAUGUGCUUUCUCAAUAUAGGUCUUGUGAAUUGUAUUUUUCCAAAGUCGAAGUUCAUUAGUUCCAUGUGGAAAAUAUUAGAAUGCGACGGAUUAUGUCCGUUUAGUUUAGGUUGAUUCUUUCUGAUUUGAUUUGCUUGGAAUUUGUUAUAAUUUUCUCUGUUUUUUUUGUGUGUUUAAAGAACAUGUUCCUCACUCUGGUCAAUUACACAUAAAUUUGUCUCGUAAAAUUGAAUAUA